This 74-nucleotide transfer RNA is filed under the name Lachnospiraceae bacterium XBB2008. It matches the Rfam family "tRNA". Rfam says of the family: Transfer RNA (tRNA) molecules are approximately 80 nucleotides in length. Their secondary structure includes four short double-helical elements and three loops (D, anti-codon, and T loops). Lineage: Bacteria; Bacillati; Bacillota; Clostridia; Lachnospirales; Lachnospiraceae. The record is from Rfam by way of RNAcentral.
GACAACGUACUCAAGAGGCUUAAGAGGCAAGUCUGCAAAACUUGUAUUCGAGGGUUCGAAUCCCUCCGUUGUCU